Molecule: ribosomal RNA, 169 nt
Filed under: uncultured Clostridium sp.
Lineage: Bacteria; Bacillati; Bacillota; Clostridia; Eubacteriales; Clostridiaceae
Description: partial 16S ribosomal RNA
Rfam family: Bacterial small subunit ribosomal RNA
Source: RNAcentral
CCUACGGGAGGCAGCAGUGGGGAAUAUUGCACAAUGGGGGAAACCCUGAUGCAGCAACGCCGCGUGAGCGAUGAAGGCCUUCGGGUUGUAAACUCUUGUCUUCUGGGACGAUAAUGACGGUACCUGAGGAGGAAGCCACGGCUAACUACGUGCCAGCAGCCGCGGUAAU